AAUUUAUAAUGUGCUAUAAAUUAGUUGUAUAAGAAUGAAUACGACUCUAAUGAUGAUGUAAACGUUCUCUAGUGCCGCAUGUAGGAAGCCAACUCACAUUUGUUUACCAGGAAUUGUAUCGCCUCAACCCAUAUUUGCUACCCCCAAUGUUUUUAGUUGGGUAGUUUCCGUCGUUGUCAUCAUUAUGUUUACAUUCGGUGGGCAGAUCCAACUCUUGAUGCUUCCCCAACAUGAUUGGGUAUUAUAAAAUCAUCAUUCAUAGCAAAAAGUCCUCGGCCUUAUAGAAUAAAUAUAAGAUCUGAGUAAUGGGACCAGAAAGGAACUUUGAAACAUCGUCAAAAAAUAGAUUAGUUCUCGAUCUGGAAGGAAUAUCUACAGAAUGGUUGCCAAAUGCUUGGAACAUUGCAUCAUCUAGCGUCUGGGAUUAUGGAGUUCAUAAAACUUACGAAGCUCUUGUGAGUCCAUGGCUAGAAGUUUGAUCGAAUACCCAUGGCAUUGAUGAAAAUGAUUGAAAAGGCAUUAAAGGGCCAG
Molecule: unclassified non-coding RNA, 531 nt
Filed under: Hevea brasiliensis (rubber tree)
Lineage: Eukaryota; Viridiplantae; Streptophyta; Magnoliopsida; Malpighiales; Euphorbiaceae
Source: RNAcentral